GCAGCAGGACCAUCAGCAGAACACUGCUGCGUCGCUGCUGCUGCUGCUGUUGCUGCUGCUGCUGAUGAUCCUGCUGC
Molecule: small RNA, 77 nt
Filed under: Drosophila guanche
Lineage: Eukaryota; Metazoa; Arthropoda; Insecta; Diptera; Drosophilidae
Source: RNAcentral